GGGGGGGGGGGGGGGGGGGGCGGAAAUACAAUAAAAAUGUAGCCUAGAAUUGGAACUUCAGUUUAUUACUCGGCACAAAUUAUCACACUCUCUCUCCUCAUAGUUGAAAUGUGAUAGACAAAUCAGAAUUGAAUUGAGGUAUUGUGCGUUUGUAGUAAUAUGUGUUUUUAGAGAGAGAGAGAGGGAGAGAGAGAAAGUAGAAUAGUUGCAGAGAAGCAGGCGUUUGGCGUGAACUGUAAGGCAGAGCAGCAGAAGCAAUAAGGGAAGAGAGUGAGUGUGUGUGUGUGUGAGAGAGAGAGAGAGAGAGUGCGUUAAAUGUUUCCCAACAGCGCUGCAGAGAGUACUGUACACAAAGGUUACACCAUUUGCAACGUUGCGUUAUGAAGAGAGAGAAAAAAUUGUGUAUAUAUAUAUAUGUGUGUACGUAUAGGUAGAGAGAGAGAGAAGAUAUAGUUAAACGGCGGUGAGGCGACGUUAAACAGUGACUGGGAAGAAACUAUCAAGUUAAAAGAUGAUAGACGGGCGGUAGUGUUAACAGCAGCCGUCAGCCG
This 551-nucleotide long non-coding RNA is filed under the name Erythranthe guttata (spotted monkey flower). RNAcentral describes it as "long non-coding RNA (EGUT_LNC002907)". The record is from RNAcentral. Lineage: Eukaryota; Viridiplantae; Streptophyta; Magnoliopsida; Lamiales; Phrymaceae.